This 74-nucleotide transfer RNA is filed under the name Pseudomonadota bacterium. RNAcentral's name for it is "tRNA-Glu". It matches the Rfam family "tRNA". Rfam says of the family: Transfer RNA (tRNA) molecules are approximately 80 nucleotides in length. RNAcentral also lists the same sequence under 1 other name. Lineage: Bacteria; Pseudomonadati; Pseudomonadota. The record is from RNAcentral.
GGCCCCGUCGUCUAGCGGCCUAGGACAUCUGGUUUUCAGCCAGAGAAUCAGGGGUUCGAAUCCCCUCGGGGUCA